This 495-nucleotide ribosomal RNA is filed under the name uncultured bacterium. RNAcentral describes it as "partial 16S ribosomal RNA". It matches the Rfam family "Bacterial small subunit ribosomal RNA", at positions 29 to 507 of the family's 1533-position model. The record is from RNAcentral.
AUGAACGCUGGCGGCGUGCCUAAUCCAUGCAAGUCGAGCGAACAGACGAGGAGCUUGCUCCUCUGACGUUAGCGGCGGACGGGUGAGUAACACGUGGAUAACCUACCUAUAAGACUGGGAUAACUUCGGGAAACCGGAGCUAAUACCGGAUAAUAUAUUGAACCGCAUGGUUCAAUAGUGAAAGACGGUUUUGCUGUCACUUAUAGAUGGAUCCGCGCCGCAUUAGCUAGUUGGUAAGGUAACGGCUUACCAAGGCGACGAUGCGUAGCCGACCUGAGAGGGUGAUCGGCCACACUGGAACUGAGACACGGUCCAGACUCCUACGGGAGGCAGCAGUAGGGAAUCUUCCGCAAUGGGCGAAAGCCUGACGGAGCAACGCCGCGUGAGUGAUGAAGGUCUUCGGAUCGUAAAACUCUGUUAUUAGGGAAGAACAAAUGUGUAGUAACUAUGCACGUCUUGACGGUACCUAAUCAGAAAGCCACGGCUAACUACGUG